GAUGAACGCUGGCGGCGUGCCUAAUACAUGCCAGUCGAGCGAACAGACGAGGAGCUUGCUCCUCUGACGUUAGCGGCGGACGGGUGAGUAACACGUGGAUAACCUACCUAUAAGACUGGGAUAACUUCGGGAAACCGGAGCUAAUACCGGAUAAUAUAUUGAACCGCAUGGUUCAAUAGUGAAAGACGGUUUUGCUGUCACUUAUAGAUGGAUCCGCGCCGCAUUAGCUAGUUGGUAAGGUAACGGCUUACCAAGGCAACGAUGCGUAGCCGACCUGAGAGGGUGAUCUGCCACACUGGAACUGAGACACGGUCCAGACUCCUACGGGAGGCAGCAGUAGGGAAUCUUCCGCAAUGGGCGAAAGCCUGACGGAGCAACGCCGCGUGAGUGAUGAAGGUCUUCGGAUCGUAAAACUCUGUUAUUAGGGAAGAACAAAUGUGUAAGUAACUAUGCACGUCUUGACGGUACCUAAUCAGAAAGCCACGGCUAACUACGUG
This 497-nucleotide ribosomal RNA is filed under the name uncultured bacterium. Its description in RNAcentral is "partial 16S ribosomal RNA". It matches the Rfam family "Bacterial small subunit ribosomal RNA", at positions 28 to 507 of the family's 1533-position model. The record is from RNAcentral.